Molecule: ribosomal RNA, 495 nt
Filed under: uncultured Desulfobulbus sp.
Lineage: Bacteria; Pseudomonadati; Thermodesulfobacteriota; Desulfobulbia; Desulfobulbales; Desulfobulbaceae
Description: bacterial SSU rRNA
Rfam family: Bacterial small subunit ribosomal RNA
Source: RNAcentral
GCUCAGAAACUUAAAGGAAUUGACGGGGCCGCACAAGCGGUGGAGUAUGUGGUUUAAUUCGAUGCAACGCGAAGAACCUUACCUGGUCUUGACAUCCCGGAGACCCUUAGGAAACUAGGGGGUGCUUCCAUCUGGAAGAAUCUGGAGACAGGUGCUGCAUGGCUGUCGUCAGCUCGUGUCGUGAGAUGUUGGGUUAAGUCCCGCAACGAGCGCAACCCUUGCCUUUAGUUGCCAGCAGUUCGGCUGGGCACUCUAAAGGGACUGCCGGUGUUAAACCGGAGGAAGGUGGGGAUGACGUCAAGUCCUCAUGGCCUUUAUGACCAGGGCUGCACACGUACUACAAUGGCCGAUACAAAGGGCAGCGACACUGCGAGGUGAAGCCCAUCCCGUAAAAUCGGUCUCAGUCCGGAUUGGAGUCUGCAACUCGACUCCAUGAAGUUGGAAUCGCUAGUAAUCGUGAAUCAGAAUGUCACGGUGAAUACGUUCCCGGGCCUU